UCUCCCGGAGGCGCAUGAUGUCCUCGGCCAGGUUGUCGCGCUCCACCUCGACGCGGGCUUUGUCGUUGGUUAGCUGGUCCACCUGCCGGCGCAGCUCCCGCAUCUCCUCCUCGUAGAGGUCCCCCAGGCGCGACUUGCCUUGGCCCUUGAGCUGCUCGAGCUCGGCCAGCAGGAUCUUAUUCUGCUGCUCCAGGAAGCGCACCUUGUCGAUGUAGUUGGCGAAGCGGUCAUUCAGCUCCUGCAGCUCCACCUUCUCGUUGGUGCGGGUGUUCUUGAACUCGGUGUUGAUGGCGUCGGCCAGCGAGAAGUCCACCGAGUCCUGCAGGAGCCGCACCCCGGGCACGCUGCUCCGCAGGCGCACGGCAGAGGAGCGCGUGGCAUACACGCCGCCCGGGGACGAGGCGUAGAGGCUGCGGCUGGUGCUGGGGCGCAGCGCGCUGCCCAGGCUGUAGGUGCGGGUGGACGUAGUCACGUAGCUCCGGCUGGAGCUCGGCCGGCUCGCGGUGCCCGGGCCGCCGAACAUCCUGCGGUAGGAGGACGAGGACACGGACCUGGUGGACAUGGCUGCGGAGGGUGGCGAUGGCCUGGGCGGCGGCGGUGGCGCGGACUGGCUCCCGGAGAAGAGGCGAACGAGGGCGCGACAGCAAAGCUCCCUUUGGAUGACAUAGAUUUAUUACUUAGUAGUAUAUUAUGUAUUGGCUGUCCCACAUUUUGAAAUUUAAUGGACUCGUGGUGAUCAGAAUAAAAGAAGCCUUCGAUGUGAGGCCCAGGCAUUGAGUACCAUGUGUGCGAUUCACAAGCCUUGGCAUCUGAACAAUUUUUUGGAAGGAUCCAUCAGGACAACACGUCGGGGGUGUACUAGUGAAGUGAUUUUCCAAAUGUGCUACUCAGACCUGUAGCAUCAGCAUCACCGGAUAUACAAGACUUACCAGGUGAUUCUGAGAACCACUGUGCUAGUGAAUUGUUCCUGUCUGUGGCCACGUAGAAUAAGAAAACCAUAGGGUUGGAAAAUGGGGAAACUGGUGAGUGUUCGCUUAUGAGGAAAUGAAGAAUAGAUAGAAAAGAAUUAGUUAACUUUUGGAAUUCAAAAGAGAAGCAGUUUGUAAAAGCCAGGAAUUUGAUUUGAAGGACUAAUUGCUUGCAGAAUCUUUGCUUUCUCAGAGAGGGGCAAUCCAGAUCACUAGGUUACCGUGAAAUAUGUUGGUAUGGCUCUAAAAUUCUAGAAUAAUCUCUCUAGUGAGAAAAGGCAUACCUUUCCAUAUUAGGACAAAACUUCAAAUCAGGUUUGUAAAAUCCUAUAAGAUUAUUGUAUCCCAUUGCCAUGGCCAACUUGUUUGUCUCUGGAGAUCCCAGUUUCUACAUCUGAAAACCAUAUGCAUUCCUGCUCACCAGGAAUUAUCUCGCUGAAUGAAGCAAGAGAUUCAGGAUGUGUAAGAGAAUUUAUGAAGCAUUUGGAUUACCAAGAAAUGUGAAGUAUAAAGAUCAAGAAUGAUUAUUACAAACACUGAUGGUAAAGAGGUGUUUCGAAGUCGAUGCAAAAAAUGAGUUGCUUAUUUCAGUCUCUCUUUGAUAUAUCUGCCUUUUUAGUGCUGACUCUAUCAUGUAUUCACUAUUUGAUUUUCAGUGAAUCACAUUUUUUAAAGCUUUUAAUCUGUUUCCUCAAAAAAUAUAUUUUUUAAAAAUAUUUACUCAGGAUUGUUGUGAGAAUAAAAUUGAUUCGAUUGAUAUUUCAAAAAAGAAAUAUAUUUUUAAAAAAUAAAGCAAUACCAUUUUUGGA
Molecule: long non-coding RNA, 1777 nt
Filed under: Homo sapiens (human)
Lineage: Eukaryota; Metazoa; Chordata; Mammalia; Primates; Hominidae
Description: non-protein coding VIM-AS1:3
Source: RNAcentral